UGUUAGGUGGCUGAGUAUUUAAAGCGAUAGACUGUAGAUCUAUUAACGAAGUUAAAUCUUCCCAACAA
Molecule: transfer RNA, 68 nt
Filed under: Splendrillia sp. 2 MNHN IM 2013-9750
Lineage: Eukaryota; Metazoa; Mollusca; Gastropoda; Neogastropoda; Drilliidae
Description: tRNA-Tyr
Rfam family: tRNA
About the family: Transfer RNA (tRNA) molecules are approximately 80 nucleotides in length. Their secondary structure includes four short double-helical elements and three loops (D, anti-codon, and T loops).
Source: RNAcentral